This 663-nucleotide long non-coding RNA is filed under the name Chrysemys picta bellii (western painted turtle). Its description in RNAcentral is "lncRNA (ENSCPBG00000019755.1)". Lineage: Eukaryota; Metazoa; Chordata; Testudines; Emydidae. The record is from RNAcentral.
CACAGCCCAAUCCUCUGAAGGCCGUCAGAGCGCCAUGCAAGAUCAGGUCCUAGAUCUUUUAGCCUCUAGUUCACACACAAUCCAUCUUUUCUCUUUCAGAAGCUUGCCACGGCUCAUCUCCUCCUCACAUAGCCUGAGUUUGAGACCACGCUCCUGAGGCCGGUGGGAACGACAUGCUACAGCAAGCCAUAUAUUGUAUGUACCUGCUCAGGCCCUUUCUGUCAGCAUUACUCUAUAAGCUCUAGUAUCUGCAGAGGUAAAAUCUCCACCCUUCUGCAUCACAUGAGACUAAAGAACGGAAUGCAGGUCCUUUCAACUGCAUGUAGUGAAAGGCCUAAUUAUGGAGGAUUAUAAUACAACCUAGUUGAGGAGGCCUGGAAAAUGGUACUGCACCCACCUGGCCUGCGGCUGGAGUUAUCGUCCCUGGAGCAGCACCAAUUGGGAGCGAGGGCUGAGCAGUGACUUUCCCCUCCAACCACGUCCAAUCUGUGGCCUGCAGGCUCCCGAGGAGCGAGGAUGGCAGCAUGGGACGAGCAGGCAGAAAGUCCUAACGCUGGCUCUGGCAAGCCCUGGCCUUUCCGCUCUGCCCCCGCUGCACCCAGCAAUGGCUGAGGGGCCCGCGGCGCACCAGAGAUGAGUGGAACUUUCCCCCUGGAAGUAGGG